This 254-nucleotide ribosomal RNA is filed under the name uncultured bacterium. RNAcentral's name for it is "partial 16S ribosomal RNA". It matches the Rfam family "Bacterial small subunit ribosomal RNA", at positions 524 to 776 of the family's 1533-position model. The record is from RNAcentral.
UACGUAGGGGCCUAGCGUUGUCCGGAUUUAUUGGGCGUAAAGAGCUCGUAGGCGGUUCGGCAAGUCGGAUGUGAAAUCUCCACGCUUAACGUGGAGGGGCCAUUCGAAACUGCCGUGACUCGAGUCCGGUAGGGGAGUGUGGAAUUCCCGGUGUAGCGGUGAAAUGCGCAGAUAUCAGGAGGAACACCGAUGGCGAAGGCAGGUCUCUGGGCCACUACUGACGCUGAGAAGCGAAAGCAUGGGGAGCGAACAGG